RNAcentral lists this vault RNA (101 nucleotides) under Sander lucioperca (pikeperch). Its description in RNAcentral is "Vault RNA (ENSSLUG00000012097.1)". It matches the Rfam family "Vault RNA". Rfam says of the family: This family of RNAs are found as part of the enigmatic vault ribonucleoprotein complex. The complex consists of a major vault protein (MVP), two minor vault proteins (VPARP and TEP1), and several small untranslated RNA molecules. The record is from Rfam by way of RNAcentral. Lineage: Eukaryota; Metazoa; Chordata; Actinopteri; Perciformes; Percidae.
GUAGGGGUUUAGCUCAGUGGUUACUUCGACUCCUCAGAGACGCUUAGCUCGACCGGUCUCCGGGCCGAGGGUUCAAACCACGGGCGCUGUCCUUUGCUUUU